RNAcentral lists this ribosomal RNA (618 nucleotides) under Periconia sp. CanS-53. Its description in RNAcentral is "eukaryotic LSU rRNA". The stretch from base 243 to 396 matches the Rfam family "5.8S ribosomal RNA". Lineage: Eukaryota; Fungi; Ascomycota; Dothideomycetes; Pleosporales; Periconiaceae. The record is from RNAcentral.
AAGGAUCAUUACGAAAUUCGGCGCGCUUCGGCGCUGCCUUAUUCACCCACCCUUUGUCUUCCGUAGGUGAACCUGCGGAAGGAUCAUUACGAAAUUCGGCGCGCUUCGGCGCUGCCUUAUUCACCCACCCUUUGUCUACGUGUACCUCUAUAGCUUCCUCGGCGGGCUCGCCCGCCGCCAGGAACCCACGAAACCCCUUGCAUUAUACACGAAAACUUCUGAUAACAAACCUAAAUUAUUACAACUUUCAACAAUGGAUCUCUUGGUUCUGGCAUCGAUGAAGAACGCAGCGAAAUGCGAUAAGUAGUGUGAAUUGCAGAAUUCAGUGAAUCAUCGAAUCUUUGAACGCACAUUGCGGCCAUAGGUAUUCCUUUGGCCAUGCCUGUUCGAGCGUCAUUUACACCCUCAAGCCUAGCUUGGUGUUGGGCGUCUGUCCCGCCGAUUUCGCGCGCGGACUCGCCUCAAAGUCAUUGGCGGCGGUCGUGCCGGCUCCUCGCGCAGCACAUUUGCGCUUCUCGGAGGCCCGGCGGAUCCGCGCUCCAGCAAAGACCUUUCAUGACUUGACCUCGGAUCAGGUAGGGAUACCCGCUGAACUUAAGCAUAUCAAUAAGCGGAGGA